GUACCGUGAGGGAAAGGUGAAAAGCACCCCGGAAGGGGAGUGAAAUAGAUCCUGAAACCGUGUGCCUACAAGUAGUUAGAGCCCGUUAAUGGGUGAUAGCGUGCCUUUUGUAGAAUGAACCGGCGAGUUACGAUUACAUGCAAGGUUAAGUUGAAAAGACGGAGCCGCAGCGAAAGCGAGUCUGAAUAGGGCGAUUUUAGUAUGUGGUCGUAGACCCGAAACCAGGUGAUCUACCCAUGUCCAGGGUGAAGUCCAGGUAACACUGGAUGGAGGCCCGAACCCACGCACGUUGAAAAGUGCGGGGAUGAGGUGUGGGUAGCGGAGAAAUUCCAAUCGAACUUGGAGAUAGCUGGUUCUCUCCGAAAUAGCUUUAGGGCUAGCCUCACGUUGUAAGAGUCUUGGAGGUAGAGCACUGUUUGGACUAGGGGCCCUCAUCGGGUUACCGAAUUCAGACAAACUCCGAAUGCCAAAGACUUAUCCGUGGGAGUCAGACUGCGAGUGAUAAGAUCCGUAGUCAAAAGGGAAACAGCCCAGACCACCAGCUAAGGUCCCAAAGUUUACGUUAAGUGGAAAAGGAUGUGGAGUUGCUUAGACAACCAGGAUGUUGGCUUAGAAGCAGCCACCAUUUAAAGAGUGCGUAAUAGCUCACUGGUCGAGUGACUCUGCGCCGAAAAUGUACCGGGGCUAAACGUAACACCGAAGCUGUGGAUUGACAUCUACGAUGUCAGUGGUAGGAGAGCGUUCUAAGGGCGUUGAAGCUAGACCGUAAGGACUGGUGGAGCGCUUAGAAGUGAGAAUGCCGGUAUGAGUAGCGAAAGAUGGGUGAGAAUCCCAUCCACCGUAUGCCUAAGGUUUCCUGAGGAAGGCUCGUCCUCUCAGGGUUAGUCGGGACCUAAGCCGAGGCCGAAAGGCGUAGGCGAUGGACAACAGGUUGAUAUUCCUGUACCACCUCUUUAUCGUUUGAGUGAUGGGGGGACGCAGGAGGAUAGGGUAAGCGCGCUGUUGGAUAUGCGCGUCCAAGCAGUUAGGCUGGUAAGCAGGAAAAUCCGCUUGCCGUGAAGGCUGAGCUGUGAUGGCGAGGGAAAUAUAGUACCGAAGUUCCUGAUUCCACACUGCCAAGAAAAGCCUCUAGCGAGAUAAAAGGUGCCCGUACCGCAAACCGACACAGGUAGGCGAGGAGAGAAUCCUAAGGUGUGCGAGAGAACUCUCGUUAAGGAACUCGGCAAAAUGACCCCGUAACUUCGGGAGAAGGGGUGCUUUUUGAGGUGAAUAGCCUCGAAGAGCCGCAGUGAAUAGGCCCAGGCGACUGUUUAGCAAAAACACAGGUCUCUGCGAAGCCGCAAGGCGAAGUAUAGGGGCUGACGCCUGCCCGGUGCUGGAAGGUUAAGAGGAGGGGUUAGCGCAAGCGAAGCUCUGAAUCGAAGCCCCAGUAAACGGCGGCCGUAACAAUAACGGUCCUAAGGUAGCGAAAUUCCUUGUCGGGUAAGUUCCGACCCGCACGAAAGGCGUAACGAUCUGG
RNAcentral lists this ribosomal RNA (1519 nucleotides) under Osmia cornuta. RNAcentral's name for it is "bacterial LSU rRNA". It matches the Rfam family "Bacterial large subunit ribosomal RNA", at positions 498 to 2012 of the family's 2925-position model. The record is from RNAcentral. Lineage: Eukaryota; Metazoa; Arthropoda; Insecta; Hymenoptera; Megachilidae.